RNAcentral lists this ribosomal RNA (969 nucleotides) under Triticum aestivum (bread wheat). Its description in RNAcentral is "partial small subunit ribosomal RNA". Lineage: Eukaryota; Viridiplantae; Streptophyta; Magnoliopsida; Poales; Poaceae. The record is from RNAcentral.
AUGGGUCUCUUGUCGCUCAUCACUGGCAGGCCGGGCGCGAGCGGGUUCGGGUCGGCGUCCACGGCGGAGCAGGUCACCGACGGCGUCGACGCCUCAAACCUCACCGUCAUCAUCACAGGAGGGCCUAGCGGGAUCGGCCUGGAGACGUCGAGGGUCUUCGCCCUGAGAGGAGCCCAUGUCAUCAUCGCGGCGAGGAACACGGAGGCCGCGUCGGAGGCGAAGAAGAGCAUAACGGAGGCGAACCCGACCGCACGCGUCGACGUCCUGAAGCUCGACCUCAGCUCCCUCAAGUCCGUCAGGGCCUUCGCCGAGCAGUUCAACUCCAUGAACCUCCCUCUCAACAUCUUGAUAAACAAUGCAGGUGUGAUGUUCUGCCCCUUCCAGCUGUCCGAGGAUGGCGUCGAGAUGCAGUUCGCCACCAAUCACCUAGGUCACUUUCUGCUGACCAACCUGCUGCUUGAUAACAUGAAAGCCACUGCUGAGUCUACGGGUAUCGAGGGCCGCAUCGUGAACCUGUCAUCGAUCGCCCACGAGCAUACCUAUCCGAAGGGAAUUCAGUUCGAUAAACUCAAUGACAAGAAAACAUUCGACAGAAGGUCGGCCUAUGGACAAUCCAAGCUUGCCAACAUACUACACGCUAAAGAGCUCUCUAGACGCCUCAAGGAGGAAGGAGCUAACAUCACGGUUAAUUCCCUUCAUCCUGGAGUAAUCAUGACCAAUUUGAUGAGGCACUCCUAUGCUGUCAUGAAGGCAAUUCAAGUUGCCACUUGCUUGAUCUGGAAGAAUGUACCCCAGGGAGCAGCAACCACCUGCUAUGUAGGGCUCAGCCAUCAGCUGAAGGGGGUUACAGGCAAAUACUUUGCUGACUGCAACGAGGAGAAGACGAGCAAAUUGGCAGAGAGCGACGUCCUGGCGAAGCAACUCUGGGAGUUCAGCGAAGAGCUGGUCAAGUCUGCGAGUCAGAUAUGA